GAAAAUUCACAAAAUUUCAAAGAAUCAAGUGACAAAAGUGAAUAAUCCUCCGAUAAGGGCAAAGAAAUUGUACCCGAGGAUCGAUAGUCGGAGUACUCUAAAAAUUAGACUCCCAAAACACUUGUUGCAGUGGGCGGGUUCUGUGGACCAGCCUAUUAGAUGGGCACGAAAUUUGGUUAUACAGGUACCUCGGUCAAAGAGGCGCGUAAGGUAUCUCCUGAGGUAUGGUUAGAGUUCACAUCAUGCCGAACCACCUCGUGAUGAUGAACUCCGAAAC
This is a non-coding RNA of Theobroma cacao (cacao), 277 nucleotides long. Lineage: Eukaryota; Viridiplantae; Streptophyta; Magnoliopsida; Malvales; Malvaceae. The record is from RefSeq and is a predicted model, not a curated record.